UGGGGGAUAUUGCACAAUGGGGGAAACCCUGAUGCAGCGACGCCGCGUGGAGGAAGAAGGUUUUCGGAUUGUAAACUCCUGUCGUUAGGGACGAAUCAUGACGGUACCUAACAAGAAAGCACCGGCUAACUACGUGCCAGCAGCCGCGGUAAAACGUAGGGUGCAAGCGUUGUCCGGAAUUACUGGGUGUAAAGGGAGCGCAGGCGGACCGGCAAGUUGGAAGUGAAAACCAUGGGCUCAACCCAUGAAUUGCUUUCAAAACUGCUGGCCUUGAGUAGUGCAGAGGUAGGUGGAAUUCCCGGUGUAGCGGUGGAAUGCGUAGAUAUCGGGAGGAACACCAGUGGCGAAGGCGACCUACUGGGCACCAACUGACGCUGAGGCUCGAAAGCAUGGGUAGCAAACAGGAUUAGAUACCC
RNAcentral lists this ribosomal RNA (416 nucleotides) under uncultured bacterium. RNAcentral's name for it is "bacterial SSU rRNA". It matches the Rfam family "Bacterial small subunit ribosomal RNA", at positions 355 to 787 of the family's 1533-position model. The record is from RNAcentral.